GCCGUCUCGCGGGAUGAUUCUGGGCCCACUGUGGUUAUUUAUAGCUUCUUAUGCAAAGUGACAGAUAGCGCUGCUUCACCUUCUUUAUUAUUUACAUCCAUAUUGGAGCGACUGAUUUAGGGUGAGGAAUACAGAGAGAGCAAAGGGCUCCUGAAAUCCACACCAGGAUGGACCGACCGAGUCAUGUGACCGAGAUUGAUCUCAGAUGCGGAUAUCGCUGUGAAGGUUCUGGUGGGAUCAAAUGGACAAACUCAUGUGUCGGGCAUACGGAGAAGAGCGACAGGAGCAGUUGGUUGGACCCAGAUGGUCCAAGAUGGACGUGUCAAGCGUAAAAAGAAAAAAGAGAAAGAACGUUUCAAUCUGUGAUUUCUUCUCAUGUCACCAUUUACGGAUGCGUCUUCUUAUUCCAGUCAAGGAAACCAAAGAAAGAAUUGAUCCAAUUUGAAAUAUUCACAAGCAGCUCUUUUGUGGUGCACAUCGAGCCGUGAUGGUGCUCAAAUAACCUCGAGGCUGAUUGUCGGAAGCAAACAGGCUGAGAAGACAGAUCGCCAGCAGCUUCGGGGCAGAAGACAUGGCCAGAGACACGUGGCCGUAUUCCUUUCAAAUAAAAUGGAAUGAAAAUGACAAAGCAGCUUGUAUCCAGGCAGAGCGAGUGAAACCUGUGUGGAAACUACCCACAAUGCCCCAGUGGGCCUCCCCCUCCCCCCCAUCACGAAGCGCACACUUCACUGCAAAGCGACAGAGUGCUGAACUCAGCAAACGGCAGGCCAAGCUGCAAUCUGUUGUUUGGCUUAUUCGGUAAUUUGGCUCUCGGAGUAUUUAGCAAAUGGAACGUAAUCAUUGACAAGAGGAUAGUUGCGUCAUUAAGUUGACUUGGAUUCUUUUCAAAGCGCCAGAAUACGGAAGGUAAACAAAACGGUGAGUCGACGGGAAGACAAUCCAAGGACGACGGGAGGCGGAAGCUUGCGCGGCAGGACUGCUGAUCUUUUACUUCUUAUUAUGAAAGGCCCCGAAAUAGCGUUUGUUCUUUUGCGCUCUGGCGCUUUUAUCUCGACACGUCGGGAAUGAAGCCACUCGGGCAUCCGUCUUCAUGUCCGUCGUCUUGUUCUUCAACGGGGUUACGAUUCGGGUUGGUUCAGUAUCGUGACAACUUCAGUGGAGAUUAAAUGAGGAGUGACUGGGGGGGUCUGGUUUAUGAGUCUCUAGUCCACUCGGGGGUCCCAACCCGAGCUUUCACCCCUGCUGGGGUCAAACAUGUUUAGCCAAAUCCUUUGCUCCGCAGACACACGCGUGCCAUCCAAAUCCCAGUUAAACACCACGACAUGCCAGGGAGGGGCGGCGGGAUGAUUUAUUUUUACCAGUUUUGUUUUUGCCGAUUGAUCGGCCGAUUCCCGAGCAAUUAUCUUCCCAUCAAACACAAAGGCCGCAGCUGCCUUGGCAUUAUUAGCGUCCCAUCUGGUUAGAGGCAAGAUGGCUAACAUUACAGGGGCAUUGGAAAAAAAAAUCGUCUUGUAGUCCAUCCGCCUGCAGCUGAACGCAUCGAGGGACGAGCAAAGCCUUCAAAGGCUCCCACCAUCAAACACACAGGUGCCGGCGGAGAACACCCAGCCCACAAAUCUAUUUCAUCCUUUUUUUUGUAUGUCCACCUGAGACCCGAAACGCGUUUACUCGGUUCGCUCGGCUCGAUCCUCGGAGAGAUUGCAUCCUGCAGUCUCGAA
Molecule: long non-coding RNA, 1718 nt
Organism: Syngnathus typhle (broad-nosed pipefish)
Lineage: Eukaryota; Metazoa; Chordata; Actinopteri; Syngnathiformes; Syngnathidae
Exons: 3
Source: RefSeq, a predicted model, not a curated record